GCCCUAGUAACGGCGAGUGAAGCGGCAACAGCUCAAAUUUGAAAUCUGGCUCUCGGGCCCGAGUUGUAAUUUGUAGAGGAUACUUUUGAUGCGGUGCCUUCCGAGUUCCCUGGAACGGGACGCCAUAGAGGGUGAGAGCCCCGUCUGGUUGGAUGCCAAAUCUCUGUAAAGUUCCUUCGACGAGUCGAGUAGUUUGGGAAUGCUGCUCUAAAUGGGAGGUAUAUGUCUUCUAAAGCUAAAUACCGGCCAGAGACCGAUAGCGCACAAGUAGAGUGAUCGAAAGAUGAAAAGCACUUUGAAAAGAGAGUUAAAAAGUACGUGAAAUUGUUGAAAGGGAAGCGUUUAUGACCAGACUUGGGCUUGGUUAAUCAUCUGGGGUUCUCCCCAGUGCACUUUUCCAGUCCAGGCCAGCAUCAGUUUUCCCCGGGGGAUAAAGACUUCGGGAAUGUGGCUCUCUUCGGGGAGUGUUAUAGCCCGUUGUGUAAUACCCUGGGGGGGACUGAGGUUCGCGCAUCUGCAAGGAUGCUGGCGUAAUGGUCAUCAACGACCCGUCUUGAAACACGGACCAAGGAGUCGUCUUCGUAUGCGAGUGUUCGGGUGUCAAACCCCUACGCGUAAUGAAAGUGAACGCAGGUGAGAGCUUCGGCGCAUCAUCGACCGAUCCUGAUGUUCUCGGAUGGAUUUGAGUAAGAGCAUACGGGGCCGGACCCGAAAGAAGGUGAACUAUGCCUGUAUAGGGUGAAGCCAGAGGAAACUCUGGUGGAGGCUCGCAGCGGUUCUGACGUGCAAAUCGAUCGUCAAAUAUGGGCAUGGGGGCGAAAGACUAAUCG
Molecule: ribosomal RNA, 830 nt
Filed under: Fusarium verticillioides
Lineage: Eukaryota; Fungi; Ascomycota; Sordariomycetes; Hypocreales; Nectriaceae
Description: partial large subunit ribosomal RNA
Rfam family: Eukaryotic large subunit ribosomal RNA
Source: RNAcentral